CUUUGAAGUGUGGACGCCAGUCUGCAUGGAGCCGACCUUGAAAUACCACCCUUUAAUGUUUGAUGUUCUAACGUGGACCCGUGAUCCGGGUUGCGGACAGUGUCUGGUGGGUAGUUUGACUGGGGCGGUCUCCUCCUAAAGAGUAACGGAGGAGCACGAAGGUUGGCUAAUCCUGGUCGGACAUCAGGAGGUUAGUGCAAUGGCAUAAGCCAGCUUGACUGCGAGCGUGACGGCGCGAGCAGGUGCGAAAGCAGGUCAUAGUGAUCCGGUGGUUCUGAAUGGAAGGGCCAUCGCUCAACGGAUAAAAGGUACUCCGGGGAUAACAGGCUGAUACCGCCCAAGAGUUCAUAUCGACGGCGGUGUUUGGCACCUCGAUGUCGGCUCAUCACAUCCUGGGGCUGAAGUAGGUCCCAAGGGUAUGGCUGUUCGCCAUUUAAAGUGGUACGCGAGCUGGGUUUAGAACGUCGUGAGACAGUUCGGUCCCUAUCUGCCGUGGGCGCUGGAGAACUGAGGGGGGCUGCUCCUAGUACGAGAGGACCGGAGUGGACGCAUCACUGGUGUUCGGGUUGUCAUGCCAAUGGCACUGCCCGGUAGCUAAAUGCGGAAGAGAUAAGUGCUGAAAGCAUCUAAGCACGAAACUUGCCCCGAGAUGAGUUCUCCCUGACCCUUUAAGGGUCCUGAAGGAACGUUGAAGACGACGACGUUGAUAGGCCGGGUGUGUAAGCGCAGCGAUGCGUUGAGCUAACCGGUACUAAUGAACCGUGAGGCUUAACCUUACAACGCCGAAGGUGUUU
This 794-nucleotide ribosomal RNA is filed under the name Escherichia coli. RNAcentral's name for it is "partial 23S ribosomal RNA". It matches the Rfam family "Bacterial large subunit ribosomal RNA", at positions 2155 to 2925 of the family's 2925-position model. Lineage: Bacteria; Pseudomonadati; Pseudomonadota; Gammaproteobacteria; Enterobacterales; Enterobacteriaceae. The record is from RNAcentral.